Molecule: ribosomal RNA, 468 nt
Filed under: uncultured bacterium
Lineage: Bacteria
Description: partial 16S ribosomal RNA
Rfam family: Bacterial small subunit ribosomal RNA
Source: RNAcentral
GACGAACGCUGGCGGCGUGCUUAACACAUGCAAGUCGAACGGAAAGGCCCUGCUUUUGUGGGGUGCUCGAGUGGCGAAGGGGUGAGUAAAACGUGAGUAACCUCCCCUUGACUUUGGGAUAACUUCAGGAAACUGGGGCUAAAACCGGAUAGGAGAUCCUGCACCAUGGUGGGGGUUGGAAAGUUUCGGCGGUGGGGGCUGGACUCGCGGCUUAUCAGCUUGUUGGUGGGGUAGUGGCUUACCAGGGCUUUGACGGGUAGCCGGCCUGAGAGGGUGACCGGCCACAUUGGGCCUGAGGUACGGACCAGUCUCCUACGGGAGGCAGCGGGGGAGAAUAUUGCACAAUGGGCGGAAGCCUGAUGCAGCAGCGCCGCGUGCGGGAUGACGGCCUUCGGGUUGUAAACCGCUUUCGCCUGUGACGAAGCGUGAGUGACGGUAAUGGGUAAAGAAGCACCGGCUAACUACGUG